CUGCGGGCGUACCCAUUAAGUGUGACCCGUUACUGUGCGAGGCCUAGCCCGACUAGGAAGGUGGAGCGCAUGCGUGGUGUCUUAUCUUCUCCCUCACUCUCGGCUGGUUCAGUCACUCCCUGUCCCUUUUUCUUUGCUCUCUGUCUCCUGCUCUCCCCUCGCUGGCUAGGGUUUCUUUUGCUGGUGCUCGGAUUCAGUGACCCGCUGCUUGGAUCCGUGGGGAGAUCUGCUUUUUUCAGGCAUGGUCUGCCCUGUUUAUCGUUUCCCGGGUGCUCCGUGUGUGCCAGUUGCAUUUGCUGGCCAACACAUGUACAUCCCCUGCAAUCUGAGAAAUGUCUUAGCUGAGUAUAUUGAGGAGUAGAGAGACGAGGCUAGGACUCUGCAGUUCAAGAAGGCGGAGCCUGAACUUCUUAGGUUUGAAAGCAGGACUUACCCAGCCACAUUCAAGCACCGAGCAAACUACAGCAAGUUUGUUGGUAGUUCAUGGUUUGACUUCACCCAUGACUAUGGCCUGUGUGCUGGAGAUCUGUGUUUACGCCGGACCAUCUGACUUUUGAUGUGAAGAGCCAAACCUACCGUGGUGGUGAAAGAAUUCUCCCUCUGCCUUAUUUAAGUUAUCUCAAUGUUUUUUGAAACUUUCGUGAAUGUUAGUUAUUUUAAUUAAUCAAGUUGCAAGACUAUUUAUUUGAUGUUUUUCUGUAGCUUUUGAAAACCUAUCCGAUGCCAAUUAUGAGUAUGCUAUUUAUGUUGUAUUGCCGCGCAAGUUGUUGUUCAACUACCAUAAGAACCGCUACUUACUCCAUUGUCUUUUGUUGGGCAAUUUCCUGCGGUGUGUGCCUUUCAUCCAUGUCAUGACUCCCACUAACACAAUCAAGAAUAUCAUGAAAAUUCCAAAAAUUGUUGUGUCAAGCUUGAAGAGAUUCAUGGAUGUCCCUCUAAGUGCAUCUGUCACUCUUGAAUAUCUGGAUGAAGGUGUGCACGUCAUCACGUCAUUUCAUACACUUUGUGCAGACAAGAUGGGAGGAUGAUGUUCGAGAAGACAAGUUUCAAUGAGUUCAUAUCAGCAGCUUCUUUGGGUGAAGACAAUGUUGUGCUCAUCACAUUCAAAGAACGCAAUGAUCGCUCAGUUUCUGUUGUGUUCCAGCGGCUCAUGCAGGUGGAGUGUUGCGCGUUUAGAGUCUGAACUUUAGAUCGUUGAAACCCGAACUUUUUUAUGUGUAAUUAUCUAUGACUCUAUGGUUAGUUGUCUAGAUGACUGUUUGAUGAUAGAGGUAGUGGUGCCUCUACGUAUCCAAGUUCAGACUUUAUACUUUUGGAUGCAAGGAUUACCGAACGGUAUAUCUUUUGAUGGUUAAUAUGUCAAGUUUUAAGGAACUGUAUGGUUGAAAUGAUGCUUGUACUUAGAUUUUUGUUGAUGCUUUUAACUUAUGCUUCUUGUUUAAAUGUUUUUUCUUUUUGAUUAUUUAUUUUUAUAUUUUUAAUUAUUUUUUGGGUGGUCAACUUGUUUUUUAUUGAUCUUUUGAUUAUAGAUCAUAUCAAUUAGUUGGUUCAGUACCACCCUAUAUUUAUUAUUUAUUAUUAUUCUUUUUUCACCUGAUUUUAUGUUUUCUUAUUUAAAAACAUUUUGUAGAAAAAAAAUAAAUUUUUCAAUUGAUUUGAAGGUUUUUUUCUAAAUCCAUGUCUUUAAUUUGGCUUAUCACUUUUUUUAGUGCAGCUGUCUAUUUUUGUGCUUCGAGAUUCGUGCUAGCUUUUUUUUAUGUUUCUAUGAGGCUGGCGUUGGAGGCGUGCUUGAGUCAACUGGUUGUGGACAUUACCCCCAACCUCUGACGUCAACCAAAUUCAAAUUUCCAUACCUCUUUCUUCUCCCCUAGCGCGCUCUUCUCCGCUUCUGUCGCCAUUGUGUCUCCAGCCGCGACUGCUGCCACCACCAUUGCGCUUCUCGGCGGAUCAAUUCCGGCAUCAAAAGAGCUAGUUGCCCCAGGGACCUCCAGGGAGAUGGCUAGCGAUAUACAUAACUUGGAUGACACUGAUGAUGAUUACUAUGCUUUUGCUGAAGAUUAUUCUCUAGUGUCACAGUCGCAAUUUCAUGAUGGAUGUUUUGAUUCCCUAAAUGUUGGUGGUGGCGAUCCUCAGUUUGACGUCGAGACUUUCCUACAUAACCUUCGCCACAUGUUUUAUUCAUCUAAAAGGGAUGGCGGUUCUGAACCUAAUGAAGUUGUAAGUUUCAUUUUCCAUGAGUACUUUAUGUUUUUGAAGUUUUUACGCCACAUGAUUUUUUUUGCAUUUUUUUCACCUGCUUGUUAUUUCUUUGUUAGCGUGGUCAACUACCUCCUAAGCGAGCCACUAGCAGAUGUAAUCACCAUUAUUUUACUAAGCUUCUCAAGAAAAUACCUCCUCCAAGGAAGGAUGUUGUUACAGAUUAUGGUUUUAACUUUCUGCUUGAUUUUGAAUGCACAUUUGUCCCGAGAGGGUUUGCCCAGUGGGUAGCUAAUCGUGUCAACACUCCCACUGGUGACAUUGUCUUGAGUGAAGGUGUUAUUCCUAUGAGCCCAGAGUCUUUCCAUCUUUUGUUCGGUCUCCCUUUAGGUGGUAGGAAAGUCCUAUUUGAUAGUGAUAGUACCAAGGCUGCCUUUCUGAAUAUCAUUGGUGAACCAUCAUUGCCUUCAAUCAAGUGGUUUGGAACAAGGCUGUUAAAACCAGAUAUUUCUAAUGAUGAAUUCAUGAGGUGAUUUCUCCUUGUCGCUUUUGCAACUGUUCUCUGUCCAAAUUCAAACAUAUACCCUACUGCAAAAUAUUUGGGAAUCCUGAUCGAACCUUCUGAGGCUGGGCAUUUUGAUUUGUCAAAGUUUGUAUUUGAUUGGUUUGUGGCAUAUAUUCGCAAGUUCCAGAAAGAACCCAAGAAACCAGGUAAAGAAGAUGGUUUCACUACUUUGGGGGGAUGCAUUUAUGUGCUGGCUGUAAGUUUUCCUGCUCACUUUUUUUGUCAUUGUUGUUGUUGACAUUCUAAUCCAAUGUGCUUAUUUCUUUUAUGUGUUUUCAUACUUUCAGUGUUAUUACCUGGAUUUCCUUGAUUUCAGAUUGCGACGAGUGCCUGCUGGUUUGCCCAGGGUCAAGGCAUGGAAGAAUUCUUUAGUUAAAGAAUUUGCAAAUCUUGAUUGCAAAGGACCAAGGGAAUAUGGGUUGCGCCACGUAAAGAAAAUUUCUGGAACUUUAUAUUCCAUGGGUUGUGCUGGAUGCUAUGAAGAGCACUUGGAUUCUUCUCAUGAGUCUGUCAAAUUUAGGAGCCCACUUGACAAGACUGUUGGUGGUUUACUCCCUAGAUCUGUCAAAGAUUAGAUAUCUUUCAUUGCCCGACAGUUUCGUGCAAAUGCUGAUGAAAAGAGUGUUGAUGCAGCUUAGAAUAUGUUGUUUGAUUGUUUGAAUUGUAUUGUUUUAGCUACUACCCCUGAUCUAGAUCUUGACGACUCCAAAACAAACUCUACACACAAUCAUAGGAAUAAUCUCGCUGACAAUGAGUCUUCAAUUCUUAAGAGCGAUGGUAUAUAGCUUUCUUUUGUUUUGUGUGGUUCUUUAGUUAGCUU
This is an RNA transcript of Triticum aestivum (bread wheat), 3581 nucleotides long. RefSeq lists it as uncharacterized. The record is from RefSeq and is a predicted model, not a curated record. Lineage: Eukaryota; Viridiplantae; Streptophyta; Magnoliopsida; Poales; Poaceae. The transcript has 10 exons.